This 510-nucleotide ribosomal RNA is filed under the name uncultured bacterium. RNAcentral describes it as "partial 16S ribosomal RNA". It matches the Rfam family "Bacterial small subunit ribosomal RNA", at positions 28 to 507 of the family's 1533-position model. The record is from RNAcentral.
GACGAACGCUGGCGGCGUGCUUAACACAUGCAAGUCGAACGAAGAGCGAUGGAAGCUUGCUUCUAUCAAUCUUAGUGGCGAGCGGGUGAGUAACGCGUAAUCAACCUGCCCUUCAGAGGGGGACAACAGUUGGAAACGACUACUAAUACCGCAUACGAUCUAAUCACGGCAUCGAGGAUAGAUGAAAGGUGGCCUCUACAUGUAAGCUAUCACUGAAGGAGGGGAUUGCGUCUGAUUAGCUAGGUGGGGGGGUAACGGCCCACCAAGGCGAUGAUCAGUAGCCGGUCUGAGAUGAUGAGCGGCCACAUUGGGACUGAGACACGGCCCAGACUCAUACGGGAGGCAGCAGUGGGGAAUCUUCCGCAAUGGACGAAAGUCUGACGGAGCAACGCCGCGGGAGCGAGGACGGCCUUCGGGUUGUAAAGCUCUGUUAAUCGGGACGAAAGGCCUUCUUGCGAAUAGUGAGAAGGAUUGACGGUACCGGAAGAGAAAGCCACGGCUAACUACGUG